GGAAUGGCAGAAUAUUUAUUCCACAGAAUUCGCAAAAUCUCAGUCGCGUUUGAUUCGCGGAGUUGAGUGGUCGUGGUUUUGUUGUCAGUGCUCAUGUGGAUUUUUAAGUAUUUUUAAACAAAGUGAAGUCUGUUUUGAAAGAUAAAUCUGAUUACAUAUAUUUGUUGGAAAUAAAUAUUACUAAAAAUGAAUAAUGAACAAUUAAAAUAUGCUUAGAAUUUUCCAAAUCUGGAAUUGUAAAAAAAUGUCUGAAAUCGGUCAUUGAGGCUGUUUAUUUAGUCAGAUGAAAUGGACAAAUCCAGUGAUGAAUGCGAAAUACUUACAUUGAGUUCCAGGGGACUUAAUAGUAAAAUAUUUUUGGGAUAUGGUCUAGUCAAAGAGUUACACAAAAAAUGUAUGUCGUGAAUUCAUCGAAAUAAAUGAAAUGAUAAAUGCGUAUACUGAAGUGACAGUUCGACCAAAUUUCCUCUUGAGAUGUUUCAAUCUUUCAGCAAAAGAUAACACGUAAGACGUUUACUUGAUCAGAUAACGUCUCAAAUGCGUAAAGCUUUCAUAUUGAAUCUCCAACAGACGAAUAACAAAAUAAUACUGGAGAUGAGCAAAUAUUUUUAAUAUUAUGAAUACUACAUUUGGUGAACCGAUAUCCUGGAUUAAAAAUAUAUUUCAUAACAGUUUGGACUGAAUGUGAACAGAAGUUAGGAAAUUUUGAUUAUAUAAAUAGUUGUCAAUGCUAACUUUCUUCUAAAAGCAGUACAAAAUUUUAAACCACUAUUUAAGUACAACAAAUUGAAAUCAUUUCAAUACCAGUAAUUUCCAGUAAUACCAGUAAUUUACAAAAUACCGCAUAAAUACCGAUGUAAGAUGUCUAGGAUCAUCUCACCGGAGAGGAGUAAAAACAGAUAAGCUAAAAUAUUUUUACUAUUAUCAUUUUCUUAACAAUAUGUGCUAAUCUAAUUAAGACAAAAAUCCUAUUUAAACAAUACAAAUUGAUUUUGUUGGCAAAUAAUACUACAUUAUAAAAGCUGUGCUAAAAAUUUUUACGAUUACUGCGGUUUUGAUAAUUAUUUCCAAAAAAAAGUGUUAAAGGAUCAUUGGAUAAAUAUUGAAGCCUAAUAUGAUUUUGGUUUAAAUUAAAUUUUAAUGUACUUUAAACCAAUGUAUAUACUAAUGAAUUUGU
Teleopsis dalmanni is the source of this 1177-nucleotide long non-coding RNA. RefSeq lists it as uncharacterized. The transcript is spliced from 4 exons. Lineage: Eukaryota; Metazoa; Arthropoda; Insecta; Diptera; Diopsidae. The record is from RefSeq and is a predicted model, not a curated record.